Molecule: long non-coding RNA, 1573 nt
Organism: Oryzias melastigma (Indian medaka)
Lineage: Eukaryota; Metazoa; Chordata; Actinopteri; Beloniformes; Adrianichthyidae
Exons: 3
Source: RefSeq, a predicted model, not a curated record
UAAACAGCACUAUCUGUUGUGUGUUCGUUUAAAACAAGGAAAGUCAUCUUUUAUUUCUCUUUGAAUUUUUUGUGAUGGGUUGGUUUGAUUGGACAUCAAAGCAGCUCUAAUAAAGGUUCAAUUAUGCAGAAACGGAGAAGGACAGGAAAAAUAUAAUAUUGAUUUUUUGCAGUGAUGAGGUCAGACCGGACGCUCCUCAGGUCAUGUUUUGAGCUGAAGGCCACAACCCGACGCUGUUGCAAAGGCCACAUCCAAAAGCAGCACUUCUUCAGGCAGGAAUGCAACCAACAAACAUGAUGAUAAUGUGGCAAAGAAAAUAGUUGUGCUGCCAAAGUGCUCUUUUUUUGUAAGCAGGAGUGUCAGUGUGAAAUGAAGUCCAGCUGGCUGGAUGAAGGCAGAUCAUGAAUGAAUUUGCAACAGUGCAGCAUCCUCAGCGGGAACUCUUUCCCUGUCCAGCCCUUGGAUUUCUGGGAGUUCCUUAUCAUUCCACUAGGGGCAGUGGAGGGGCUUUCCCUGCUCAUUUCAAAAUGGCUGCUUCCGUGAAAUCCAUAAUCUCAUAAACUCUUUUGGUGAGAAAAGUUUGACUAAUUUUCAUCACUUUAUGGUGAGAAUAACUCAAACGUAAUUUCAGAAUUUCUUUUUAAAUGAAUUCUUGUGUUCAAAUAAAAGUUAUUUUUCCCUGAACACUCAUGUCAAUAUUUUUAUAUCUUAAACUAACAUUGUUUUUGACAAAAACUUACCAACUCACUCAAUGUGUUAUAUUUGGUAUUAGCUCUAUCUCAUAAAAAAAAAUAAAUAAAUAAAUAAAUAAAUAAAAAAUGGUGGAUUCAAUUAAAGGAUUUGAAAAACAACAACAAAAAAAUGAACAAUCCCAGAAAAAUAUAUAUGAAUACAGCUGGAUAAAGGAUUUUUUCCAAAUUUGUUGAAAAGUAGCUAGUACAUUUUUUCAUCUUUUUUUGUAUUCUUAAAGAACUUAUCUCGCAACGCACAGAAGCAGAAGUGAAACUGCAUAAACUGGAAGCUACACUGACUGCUCAGCAGUUUGUUCAGCUUUGUACAGGUGAGUCAUCUGUAGCUCCAUAUUGCUCAAAAGCAUAAAAAGAAUAAAUUAAUAAAUAAUUAUAAUAUCUGUGAAAACACAAGUAAAAAAUAAAACUUGCAACAGAAAAAAAAAGCUUUUCAUAGGAAAAGCAACAACUAAAAAACAUUUUUGUAAAUUAUUUUGGUCUGGUCUGAUAUCUCAAAAGACUUUUAUUAAACACGUUUUAAGCUCCAGCCAAUUUCUACUGCCCCAUUUUGUCCAAGAUGACACUAUUCACUGCUGUUUCUGUAUUCCCCCCCCCCCACUAUUUUAUUUCACAUUGUUCCGGGUCUCCCUAUACAACAUCAAAUUCCUCUUUUCAACAGAAGUCCUUGCGGUACAAAAUAAAUAAUUCAUCUUCAUGACCACGCACCGUUGAAUAUUUCAUUUUAAAGCCAUGUAUAAUUAUAGUUGACUUUUGCGCCAUGCUGUCAUUUCAGCGCUCCCUCUCAGGUCAAUUUUCUUUUCUUUUUUUUUUACAGCAAAAAGUUU